This 497-nucleotide ribosomal RNA is filed under the name uncultured bacterium. Its description in RNAcentral is "partial 16S ribosomal RNA". It matches the Rfam family "Bacterial small subunit ribosomal RNA", at positions 28 to 507 of the family's 1533-position model. The record is from RNAcentral.
GAUGAACGCUGGCGGCGUGCCUAAUACAUGCAAGUCGAGCGAACGGACUAGAAGCUUGCUUCUCUGAUGUUAGCGGCGGACGGGUGAGUAACACGUGGAUAACCUACCUAUAAGACUGGGAUAACUUCGGGAAACCGUAGCUAAUACCGGAUAAUAUUUUGAACCGCAUGGUUCAAAAGUGAAAGACGGUCUUGCUGUCACUUAUAGAUGGAUCCGCGCUGCAUUAGCUAGUUGGUAAGGUAACGGCUUACCAAGGCAACGAUGCAUAGCCGACCUGAGAGGGUGAUCGGCCACACUGGAACUGAGACACGGUCCAGACUCCUACGGGAGGCAGCAGUAGGGAAUCUUCCGCAAUGGGCGAAAGCCUGACGGAGCAACGCCGCGUGAGUGAUGAAGGUCUUCGGAUCGUAAAACUCUGUUAUUAGGGAAGAACAUAUGUGUAAGUAACUGUGCACAUAUUGACGGUACCUAAUCAGAAAGCCACGGCUAACUACGUG